This 223-nucleotide long non-coding RNA is filed under the name Elaeis guineensis (African oil palm). Its description in RNAcentral is "long non-coding RNA (EGUI_LNC034685)". The record is from RNAcentral. Lineage: Eukaryota; Viridiplantae; Streptophyta; Magnoliopsida; Arecales; Arecaceae.
UCUCCCCCUCUUUCUCUCUCUAAAAUUUCUCUCUCUUUUUCUCUCUAAAAUUUUUCUCUCCUACUCUCUCUCCUUCUCUCUCUAAUUGCAUUACGGAUUCUAGGAUAAAUUUGAGAUGAAAAUAAGAUGAUCUGAAAUCGCUCUGAAAGUCAUGCAGUAGGUUGGAUCCUAGCCCGAUCCUUAUUCAAAAUUUAUAACAUCGGAUCAUAGUUAAUCCAUAUUG